GAAUUUUGAACCUGGAAAAAAGGUAAGGGAAUCCUUAGAUUCCGUUGUUGUUUUCAUCCUUUGACUUUCAGUUUCAAUAGAUCCCUGAUGGAGAACAGGAGAGAAAGCUGAGGUCCCCAGCAAGGUGGGGAGCUGGAUUCAAGACCUGCCGGGACCAUAGCUUCUCCUGUGUCGUUACUCCUGCUGUGCUCUCCACCUGUUUCACUUGCCUCCAUAUCUCCACAAGUCAAAAAUCCUCCUGACCCUGAAGCCAAGGAUUGUAAACACAAAUUUAUCAGCAGGUGAGGAAAAGGAAA
Molecule: long non-coding RNA, 296 nt
Filed under: Mustela putorius furo (domestic ferret)
Lineage: Eukaryota; Metazoa; Chordata; Mammalia; Carnivora; Mustelidae
Description: lncRNA (ENSMPUG00000025964.1)
Source: RNAcentral